GAAUUUGUCUUGGUGUAGUUAACAAACACUUCCACUACUGCUUGUGCCAGGUACUGAUGACUGAUGAUGUCAUUUACUUGAACCUUUAGCAUGAACACCGAUCCUGAGGCCGCCGCGGCGGGGGCUCCCCCCGGCAGCGCCGCUCGCUCCGGCUGAGGGCGGGUGGCGGCGGCGGCCGUCGGCCGGCCCUGCAGCAGCAGCAGCAACAGCGCCAGAAGCAGAGAGGGGGGCGGCCCGCGGGUCCCCGGCAUGGCGGGCAGCCCGCGGGCAGCCGAGGAGCAUCGCGGGCGAACACCACACCGGGAGCUCCGGCACCGAGCGGCCGCUGAUCCCACCCCCUCCGCUACGUGCGGGGCGGGGCCGCCCUGAGGGGCGGUGCUGGGGCUGCAGUGUUCCGUCAGCGCGGGGACCCACUGUGCCGCGUCCACACACGUCCGGGGACGGUGACCCGGCACCUCCCUGAGCAUCACCGCUCUUUCAGAGAAGUUUUUCCCAACACCUGACUGGAUUAAGUGCGGAAAACACGUCGGGACCGCCUCACAGAGGAUUUCAUGCCAGCACCAACGUGGCCGUGCCUUGAUUUCAGAGAGGCAGGUGCUGAGGCUGUUCCGUGUGUCGCUUCACUCAUACACAAGUUUCUUCAGAAGUUGCUGAGUUUGCUGAAAAAUAUGACUUCAGCCACUCGUGCCCUACGGACGAACUGUGCUGCAAUGAGAAACUUACAGCCACCUCAGCAGUGUCACCUACUACACUGAAGGAACAUACCUGCUCUCCAGUGAAGUUGUACAUGGAAGACAUGUUUUUCCCAUUGUAGAUAGACACCUGCACAUGAGAAAACACGCAUUAUGGCAAAGCAACAAUAUUCAUCUUUUCCUUUAUUAUAUAACUGUUUCAAAUUUCCUACCAUGCCUAGAGUUCUUGCUGCUCUUGGGACUCCUGAUACAAAGUCUGAAAUACAAAACAAGACACCCAUGUAACAUUCAGUUUCCAAAGCAGAAUGUCCUCACUUGAACGAGGUAGCUCAUUCCUUUGCACUUUAUCAUUUGUACUACACCACUUAUUUGAAAGUCCUGCCCAGUGUAUCACCAUAAUUUUUUUUUAUUUUUAUUUUUUUUUAACUGAGAGAAGGAUCUUACCUUCUAUGCCAUCACCACUGAAGUCUCCAACAGCCACAGAAUAACCUGAUUCAGAGACAAAAUUAGUAAAUCACUUGAGGAACCUUUAUAAGUCUUUCACCUCUCUAAACUCUUCACAAGUCUUGGUGCACAACCCUCCUGCUUCAUGUUAAAAUGCAGUGAAAUGAUUUUUUUGCCUCUGAGUAGAUUGGAUGAUGAACAGCUACACAGGUAGACUGUAAUUCAUCAGCUUCCAUGUAAGUACAGCAGGUUGUUAAAUUCACCCAGUGAAUUUGUCUAACUUUGUAUACCAGGUCUUUUAUGAUCAGCAGCAUGUUUCAGACAGACUCAAAGACUGUUCAGAACAAAAAUGUUUGUUUGUUUUUUCACUAACUCAAAAACAAACUAACAACAACAACAACCACCCAGCAAUUUAGAUUCCAUCAUCAUAAUAGUUGUUUUCAAAUGGAAAUCCUGAAAGAAUUUACCAAAAAACAACUUUAUAUCUGCAAAGCUCAGCAAAUAUUUGCUAGUCAUCUUGUCAAAUGUUCAUUUGUAAAACAGUGUCAGUUGAGGAUUCUGCAAAUAGAACUUUACCUUGUAUAGAAAAGGAUAAAAACUGAGAGCAGUUUAGAAUAGUACCAGCAUAAAGGACAGAACUCUGAGCACUGGUCUUUUGACCCUUUAGCUGAAGACUUUAGCCAAAUGACUACACUGUUUUACUUUAAAUGCAAAGAACCUUGAGAGACUUUAAGCAUCACUGUCAUUAUCACAAAGCUUCUGUUUGAACGUCACAUUCCUUAUUUUCCACCUACCACACUGCUGAGUUGCUAGUUCAGGUCAGAUUCAGAGAAAAUGUACCAGCAGACGUUACUCACAGAAAAACAGUCUAUUCCCAAAUACUGAUCACCUCUUCAGCUAAGAGAUUUUGUAACGUUAUCUAUAGAUCAUGUGAACAACUUGCCAUUUGCAGUUGGAAAUUGAGAGAUGACACACCAAUCUACAUGCAUUCAUGCAGAUUUUAGUUAGAAGCAUAAUGAAGUUGUCUACAUUUAGAUAUCCUUCCUGCUUUCUAUCUGGUAUGUAAAAGCGUAGUGACUUCUGCAUGCAGAAGCAAGAACAUAAAUUUUACUUUCUCUCUGCAAAUGUAUUAAGAAUAUAAACAUAUUUAUGGAGAUUUUUUGAGGGAAUCAGAAAAAGAUGGGGGCUUGCUCAUCACUAAACCCAUACUGACUGCAGUCACAAGCAGUGUUUAGUUGAAAGCUCAAGCAAGCUUAAAAUCUAAUGAGCAAGAAAAUGCACGAAUCCUGGAUUCUGUGGUUUCCCAUAUGGUUAGCCCUAUUCUUGAAAAUCUUAAUCUGAAUAACUUAAAUUGUUGUUAAAAGAAAUCAUGUUCAAGGAAGAUGAGGAAGAGAUUAGAAUCAGUUCCUGGGAAAUGCCCACAUCCACCCUUAGUAUUUUUCUGGACACAGUUAGACGUAGGUAAAGCUAAAUGAUAAUUUCUUACUUGCCAAAAGCCAUCUUAUCAUUAGCUUUCUUUCCAAACAUGAUUCUGUCCCAUUUUUGUUUUGUUUUGAGAUGUUUUUCAGAAACAACUGCUUUUCUAAAAUAAAUAGCUAUGUGAGUAACUUGUCAGGUAAAGAUCACCCCUGAUAAGUCAACUUAGGCCUAAAUUACAGAGCUCCAUUAUGUAUGGAAAUAGUCCUGUUUAUUUUGUCAUUAGCUGGUUUUUGAAUCAAGAUUAUGGCAAGGUAACCAAGCUUCUCUCAUACAUCAAUUACAGCAUUUUCAGCUCUUUUUCUAUCUGACGAAUUUUAAAUUAAUAGUGUGGUCUACACUUGAAUAGGAAGAAUAUGAAUAGCAGAAGAGGUUUUGUGUUUGUUUUGUUUGCUUUCUAAGUACAACAAGGCUUACUUCCCUUUCAAACUACAUACCCAAGUAGCUGUCAUCAAAAGCAGCACUAGCAGGUCUGGUUGCUAACUGGUCGUCAUAUUUUGUACUGUAGACUUUGGAGUCAUAUUUAGCCAAAAUCUCUGCCACUCGAUCAGAAAUGAGCUGGCCUGAAGAGAAAGAACACAGCUUAAAACACAUGUGCACACAUUUGGUAAACAAGACAGAUUUAUGAGAUUCUUGCUUAUGAAGCAACAGCUCUUCCACAGUACUAAUCAGUAAACAGCCAACAGCAGCAGUGCUAGAAAGGAUGAAAAUGGAAAUCUGGAUCCUACUUCAGCAAAGAUUUAUACACAUAUUUAAUCAAAAGCUCACAAAGUGUUUUCACUGAAAAUAGAAGCCACUCCUGUAUGUAAGGCAGGACUUGAAUGGGACUGCUUAGUAAGGUAAAAGUAAGCACGUGCUUGUGCUAUUUCAGAACUGAGUCAUCCUGUCUUGUCUGAAUUCCGUAAAAUGAGAGCUUAGUAUGGCAGUAAACAAGCUAUUAACAAGCUAGUGCUUUACUGCCUUCUUCCUGUUCUCAUUUCACUAGCCACUAGAUGGUGACUUCAUCACAUUCCUUUCUUUGAGUAUAAGAUUACAUUAUAUUGCAAGACUUUUUUUUUCCAGGAGAGCACUGACUUCACAUACAUAUUCCCCAGAUGUGUAUGCAGUACAGGGACAAAUACUCUUCCUGCUUCUCAGAAUGUGGGCUAAAAAUAUAGCUUUCGGAAGUAUGCUAUUGCUAUCUUCUAUUCAGAACUGAGAUUUUUCUUUGGUAGUAACAGAAGAGAAUAAAUAGUUUUAACAAAUGAAUUAGCAGCUCUGCCAGAAAGCAGUAGGAUGAAUAUAGGUACAUAAUCUGUACUGUAUUCUGUCUGCAGCUGAAUUUCAAUCAUUUCAUUUUGUUUGGAGUUCUGGAAACAGAACUAGAAAGAAGCCUGCUGUGAUGCUGAGUCUACACGUUGCCUGGCAUUAUAUAGAAAAUCUUUAAUAAAUGCUGGUGUUUACAUUAAAAUAAAGGCAACAGAUGUUGGCAAUUCUGUUCUGGUUGUAACAACCAUCUUCUGAACUGAGGGCUAUAGGUAAACACUGCAUGAUCCUGCAAACAAGUACUCACUGAAGCCCACAUUAACAAAAUAUAUAGCAGGUGUUCUGUGGAAACUGAACAGCACAGUUACAACUUGCACCACAGUGCAAACAGAUCAAUGCAAAUAAAUGCAAUAUAUCUUUGCCUUCAAGGGAAGUUCUUUGUACAGUACAUUUCUCAUGGAAAAUGCAUGUUUAAUGUGCACGUGAGAUAAUACAAAAUCUCUAACUUUUGAAAGAAGCAGCAAAAUAACAAAGAAUACUUAUCCUUCUGGUACAGACACUAUUUACAUGUUCCCAGGAAAAUGCAUUUAAAAUUAUCACACAACUAUUCCAAAGACAAAAUACACCUACUGAGUUAUUAUUUCAGCUUUAAUCUGUUGCCUUGAUAACUCAGGAAAUACGCUGAACGAUGACGGAAAACUAUUUCUGUUAGCUCUCUUACUGACAAAGAUUUUGACAACAGUUGCAGGAGUGUGGAUAAAAAGGAAUAAAAAGAUGUAGAGAAAACUGAAGAGGUCAUCCUGUUCUGUAACUUAAACAGCGUAUCUCACCUUGCCAGUAAAAACUGCCAGGUCCUCCAAGCAGGACUCUGUCUCCCUUGGGGGAAAAAAGAAAAGGGGGGGAUAAUCUUAAAAUUAGUCAUUUCUGAAGACCAAGAGAACAUGUCCUGUAUUCAUGGGAAUCAAAUAACCUCAUGCAAAUAAACUGCAUAUAAAUAAACCACAUGUAAAUAAAUUGUAGCUUCAUUGACCCCCCACCCCACACACACAUAUUACAUUUUUUGAAGGAAUGAUUGAUUAAUCCUAAUUAAAAAUGUAUGUGUUGUAGAACACUAAGACAAAGUACAAUAUCACUUCAGUGACUUGCUUCUCUACAUCAUCCAUCUAAAAUUAUCAGCAUAAUUUUGGUUUGUGUUUUAGUAGAACUUUAUAUCCAGAUAAGGCAACAGAAACACAUUUAGGAGAGAGUAUAAAGAUUGCUACAAACCAAUAAUAUGGUUUUUGGCCAGUACACAAAACUAGACUCAUCUUCUGCCCCUCUUCUUUCUACAACUUCCUGUUAGAAAAGUUUAAUUCAGAAAAGCUAUGAUGUAAUUCCCCUACUCCGUAUUCCUUGUUAGAAUUGAAAUCCACAAACCAUUUUAUGCAACUUGAACCACAUUAGCUAUCCCAGUGCUGGGAAAUUGCUCCCUAAGUACUUGACUCAAUCAGGCCAUUGGCUUUGCUGCAUCGCUAAGCCACUUAGCCUCAUUUUAAUCUAAAAACUCCCAUAUUCACCUCUCAGAAGAAAAUAGGUCAGAGAUUUGGAAAUACCAGUCUUGCCCAACUCAGCUAGGGAGGUGGACUGGAGCUCAGCAUUUGUUUUAACAAGGGCUACAGUCUGCACAGCAGUCCUGAAGGGUACAGGCAAAAUAACUGAAACACUUCUGGGCCAAUAUUACUCUUUCCACAGUCUGUGGAAGAAAAACAAGGGUGUCCUCAGGCAAAGAAUGAAGAGAUAUAAUGCAAUUCUAAGGUCUGAAAAGCCCAAAAGACUGCUACAUCGUAAAUAGGUCUUACCAUGCCCAGAUAAUGCUAAACAAUUUAACUGACAAAAAAAUGAUAAAAGAACUACAGUUAGUUCUGAGAUUCAUGCGCAGUUUUAUUGUGAGUAGACUUAAGAAGUUAUUGUGAAUUAAAAUAUAGGUAUAUUAAAGGGAAGGAGAAUAUACCAUAGAAAAAAAUAUAAGAAACACAGAAAAAAGAAGGUCUAUUUCUCCUGGUCACUGAGAAAAACAAAGCUCCAUUCACAAGAACGCUGUCUACCAGUUCCCUUCAGCAGUAACUUAGUCUUCCUCAACAAGUAACAUUAGCCAUGCACUAGUCCUUCCAGAACAAAGUGUCUAAAGACUUUCGACAUGAGAACUAGCUGCAGCAGGGCUUUAUAGCACGAGGCUGGGAAACUGGAUUAUUUAUUUUUGACAUGACUCCUAGAAGUGGUAAGCAUGCUGUUGUGAAGGUGUAGGGAAAAACACGUUUACACUACUGGAACGGUUUGAAGGGAUUGUUCUUAGUUUACAAGGAGUUUAUUGUUUUCUUUCUCUCCCCUGCCUGACCAGGAGUGGUGGUUUACGUGAAGUUUCAUAAUGUCUGUG
RNAcentral lists this long non-coding RNA (6270 nucleotides) under Gallus gallus (chicken). The record is from RNAcentral. Lineage: Eukaryota; Metazoa; Chordata; Aves; Galliformes; Phasianidae.